CCCUUAGAUGUCCUGGGCCGCACGCGCGCUACACUGAUGCAUGCAACGAGUUUAUAACCUUGGCCUGAAAGGUCUGGGUAAUCUUUUGAACGUGCAUCGUGAUAGGGAUAGAUUAUUGCAAUUGUUAAUCUUGAACGAGGAAUUCCUAGUAAACGCGAGUCAUCAGCUCGCAUUGAUUACGUCCCUGCCCUUUGUACACACCGCCCGUCGCACCUACCGAUUGGAUGGUCCGGUGAAGCCUCGGGAUUGUGGUUCUUGCCGCUUUAUUGUGGCGUGACCGCGAGAACUUGUCUAAACCUUAUCAUCUAGAGGAAGGUGAAGUCGUAACA
This 329-nucleotide ribosomal RNA is filed under the name uncultured eukaryote. RNAcentral's name for it is "partial 18S ribosomal RNA". It matches the Rfam family "Eukaryotic small subunit ribosomal RNA", at positions 1470 to 1796 of the family's 1831-position model. The record is from RNAcentral.